RNAcentral lists this ribosomal RNA (253 nucleotides) under uncultured bacterium. RNAcentral's name for it is "partial 16S ribosomal RNA". It matches the Rfam family "Bacterial small subunit ribosomal RNA", at positions 524 to 776 of the family's 1533-position model. The record is from RNAcentral.
UACAGAGGUGGCAAGCGUUGUUCGGAAUUACUGGGCGUAAAGGGCGCGUAGGCGGCCAUCUAAGUCAGACGUGAAAUCCCCCGGCUUAACCUGGGAACUGCAUUUAUGACUGCACGGCUGGAGUGCGGCAGAGGGGGAUGGAAUUCCGCGUGUAGCAGUGAAAUGCGUAGAUAUGCGGAGGAACACCGAUGGCGAAGGCAAUCCCCUGGGCCUGCACUGACGCUCAUGCACGAAAGCGUGGGGAGCAAACAGG